GGGAAUGUGGCUUAGUGGUAGAGUGCUUGUCUAGUAUGCAUGAAGCCGUGGGUUCGAAUCCUCAAUACCG
RNAcentral lists this transfer RNA (70 nucleotides) under Dipodomys ordii (Ord's kangaroo rat). It matches the Rfam family "tRNA". From Rfam's summary of the family: Transfer RNA (tRNA) molecules are approximately 80 nucleotides in length. Lineage: Eukaryota; Metazoa; Chordata; Mammalia; Rodentia; Heteromyidae. The record is from Rfam by way of RNAcentral.